GGCGAACGCUGGCGGCGUGCUUAACGCAUGCAAGUCGAACGGAAAGGCCCUGCUUUUGUGGGGUGCUCGAGUGGCGAACGGGUGAGUAACACGUGAGUAACCUGCCCUUGACUUUGGGAUAACUUCAGGAAACUGGGGCUAAUACCGGAUAGGAGCUCCUGCUGCAUGGUGGGGGUUGGAAAGUUUCGGCGGUUGGGGAUGGACUCGCGGCUUAUCAGCUUGUUGGUGGGGUAGUGGCUUACCAAGGCUUUGACGGGUAGCCGGCCUGAGAGGGUGACCGGCCACAUUGGGACUGAGAUACGGCCCAGACUCCUACGGGAGGCAGCAGUGGGGAAUAUUGCACAAUGGGCGGAAGCCUGAUGCAGCAACGCCGCGUGCGGGAUGACGGCCUUCGGGUUGUAAACCGCUUUCGCCUGUGACGAAGCGUGAGUGACGGUAAUGGGUAAAGAAGCACCGGCUAACUACGUG
This 468-nucleotide ribosomal RNA is filed under the name uncultured bacterium. RNAcentral describes it as "partial 16S ribosomal RNA". It matches the Rfam family "Bacterial small subunit ribosomal RNA", at positions 28 to 507 of the family's 1533-position model. The record is from RNAcentral.